RNAcentral lists this ribosomal RNA (387 nucleotides) under Pediococcus pentosaceus. RNAcentral's name for it is "bacterial SSU rRNA". It matches the Rfam family "Bacterial small subunit ribosomal RNA", at positions 84 to 465 of the family's 1533-position model. Lineage: Bacteria; Bacillati; Bacillota; Bacilli; Lactobacillales; Lactobacillaceae. The record is from RNAcentral.
ACACGAAGUGAGUGGCGAACGGGUGAGUAACACGUGGGUAACCUGCCCAGAAGUAGGGGAUAACACCUGGAAACAGAUGCUAAUACCGUAUAACAGAGAAAACCGCAUGGUUUUCUUUUAAAAGAUGGCUCUGCUAUCACUUCUGGAUGGACCCGCGGCGUAUUAGCUAGUUGGUGAGGUAAAGGCUCACCAAGGCAGUGAUACGUAGCCGACCUGAGAGGGUAAUCGGCCACAUUGGGACUGAGACACGGCCCAGACUCCUACGGGAGGCAGCAGUAGGGAAUCUUCCACAAUGGACGCAAGUCUGAUGGAGCAACGCCGCGUGAGUGAAGAAGGGUUUCGGCUCGUAAAGCUCUGUUGUUAAAGAAGAACGUGGGUAAGAGUAAC